CACAAGAUAAUUCCUCCUUCAAGUGAACAUUUUUUUCUGAUGACAGUUCAAGCUGACAUGAAUCCAGGUUGCCACUAAUAUCGCCAUCCAAGGAACAAGCAGCAUCUUCUUCGAUGAUAGCCAAAUGUGAAACAGGUUCUGUUGAGAGAAUAACAUAAGCAGCAAACUGCAAUGGUGGAACUGGUAUAGAGGAGAACAGAAUUGCAUACAAAGAGCUUAUAGGGCCUUUGCCUAGCCCCCAAAAUUCAACUGAUUUCACUGCUCUGUCUCUAACAUGUGGUGACGAGUUAAUAACAUUUGAAGCCACCAACUCCCAGAAGUAGGGAUUAUCGAGCCGAGAUGUGGCUGUAAUUGAUGCAGCUUCAUGAC
This 369-nucleotide unclassified non-coding RNA is filed under the name Hevea brasiliensis (rubber tree). Lineage: Eukaryota; Viridiplantae; Streptophyta; Magnoliopsida; Malpighiales; Euphorbiaceae. The record is from RNAcentral.